This is a long non-coding RNA of Neofelis nebulosa (Clouded leopard), 795 nucleotides long. RefSeq lists it as uncharacterized. NCBI's taxonomy places the organism in Eukaryota, Metazoa, Chordata, Mammalia, Carnivora, Felidae. The transcript is spliced from 4 exons. The record is from RefSeq and is a predicted model, not a curated record.
CAAAAAGCCCCGACCCACCAGCGGUCCAAGGCCCAGUCGCCCGGCGCGCCUGCGCAGCGGUGGCAGGUGGCGCGCGGGGCGCGGACCGCGGGGAGAGCGCGGGGCGGACGCGGCGCGCACGGUGUGCGCUGGGAGCGCGCCGAGCUCGCACAUGCGCGCUGCGUACUCUAGUUCCUGUCGCGAGCUGAGCUGGAGUUCCGCAGCUGGUAAUUAGGCGCUCUCGGGUCCUCUCCCGCCAUACAGCUAUCGAGCUUUUCUAGAGGAAGAGCUGAUGAAAAGAGUCACAGCUGAAUAGUGGAGAGAAAAAGCCCGGUAUUUAUUGCUUUUGUUUGGCUUUUGGCUACAGAGACAGGAACCUUCUAAUGGGGUCAAACAGCAUCUUUCCAGCUCCACUGCUGACGCCACCCUGGCCACCUGAGAUCACCGCAAGUUCUCCUUGUCUUCCAGAACUCCAGCCACACCACCCGGUCCUAUGCCGCAUGCAGACCUGAAGAGCGUGUGGUCUACUCUUCCUACAGGGACUAAUAUGUCUGAAGAAAUGCUGUUUGGAUAAUCAUUGUUCCUGUUCAUCACAUGCAUUGAGAACCAUGCUGAGACUACCACGGUGAGCAAGAGAAAAUCUCUGGCGGAAAGGGCUUGACACAUAGUGGGGAGUAAGCCAUGACAUUACUCUCGGAUAAAUUCUAUGACUGGAAAGUACGGGAAGGCACAUGGGAAUUAGAGAGUAACUCCACUGCAGAGAACAGCAGAUAAUCCUAAAGAAAGUAAUGUCAGAGUUGCUGUGGUCGGCAUAAC